Molecule: ribosomal RNA, 548 nt
Filed under: uncultured bacterium
Lineage: Bacteria
Description: partial 16S ribosomal RNA
Rfam family: Bacterial small subunit ribosomal RNA
Source: RNAcentral
UGGGGAAUAUUGCACAAUGGGCGCAAGCCUGAUCCAGCCAUGCCGCGUGUGUGAAGAAGGCCUUAUGGUUGUAAAGUACUUUAAGCGAGGAGGAGGCUACUUUAGUUAAUACCUAGAGAUAGUGGACGUUACUCGCAGAAUAAGCACCGGCUAACUCUGUGCCAGCAGCCGCGGUAAUACAGAGGGUGCAAGCGUUAAUCGGAUUUACUGGGCGUAAAGCGCGCGUAGGCGGCUAAUUAAGUCAAAUGUGAAAUCCCGAGCUUAACUUGGGAAUUGCAUUCGAUACUGGUUAGCUAGAGUGUGGGAGAGGAUGGUAGAAUUCCAGGUGUAGCGGUGAAAUGCGUAGAGAUCUGGAGGAAUACCGAUGGCGAAGGCAGCCAUCUGGCCUAACACUGACGCUGAGGUGCGAAAGCAUGGGGAGCAAACAGGAUUAGAUACCCUGGUAGUCCAUGCCGUAAACGAUGUCUACUAGCCGUUGGGGCCUUUGAGGCUUUAGUGGCGCAGCUAACGCGAUAAGUAGACCGCCUGGGGAGUACGGUCGCAAGACU